This is a long non-coding RNA of Haplochromis burtoni (Burton's mouthbrooder), 952 nucleotides long. RefSeq lists it as uncharacterized. NCBI's taxonomy places the organism in Eukaryota, Metazoa, Chordata, Actinopteri, Cichliformes, Cichlidae. The record is from RefSeq and is a predicted model, not a curated record. The transcript is spliced from 3 exons.
GUGCUGAUUUGACGUCACUCGUGCCAAAAAUCCGGACAAAUGUCACUUGAUCAAGGAGCAGAUCUGCAUCAGAUGAGAUCAGCUGACUACUUGUGUGUGUGCUGUGCAAAAAAUGUUUUUGAACAUUAAUAAGUCGUCUUUGUGCACACAUUGUUUACAGAUAUCAGACUGCAAAGAGCACUACAGAGAGUCAACAUUUCACCAGUUGUCAGUGGGAACAGCAUGAUGUAAAUACAAGACGGGCCCUCGUCCUUCGUGCACUUCCUGUGUACCUGCGUGAAGAUGCCUCCACGUUAUUCAGGACUUGUGAUUCAGCAGAUGGUCCAGACCUCACUGACACUCCUGUGGCUCUGCUGACAGUUGUCACGGAUGACACUACUGAUUCGGCCCUCUUCAGUCCCGAAAGCAUCUGCAUUGUCGUUGAGGAUGAAAUACUUGUGAAUGGUCCCACAAAUCUGGCUGAGUCAUUUCUCCUGCUCUUUGGGUACAUCUAUGCACUAGACCUACAAUACCCAAAGAAACUUGAGCUUACAUUCACAUUUAUCCAGAAGGUUGUGAUGUGCCUUGAGGACAACAAACCACUGAAAGGGCGUCUACUGAUGCUGAAGAAUGAUUUGUUCAAUGAGUGAAUCACUCAGAAUGGACUACUUGUUGAGCUGAGUAUUGAGGAAGCUUUUUUGUUUGUUUUUUUCCUAAUCAUUUGCCUCUUCUACCUCACAUUUAAGAUGAAUGACUGUUCAGUUCACUAUUCAUGUUUAAUGUUCUGUUGCCUAAUACGUAAAUGCACUGCCUUGAUGUUUGUUCCCUAUAAGUACAGCAGUGGAAACCAGUACUGUUUUUUUUAUGUAUUUUUAAAAAAGAAAGUGAGCUGCAGCUGUCAAGGUACAGUAAGUGUUAAAUGCCUCAAUGUUCUAAUAGCUGCAAUUGCUGUUAAUACUGAAAAUGUUAUUGA